GGUUAAGCGACUAAGCGUACACGGUGGAUGCCCUGGCAGUCAGAGGCGAUGAAGGACGUGCUAAUCUGCGAUAAGCGUCGGUGAGGUGAUAUGAACCGUUAUAACCGGCGAUUUCCGAAUGGGGAAACCCAGUGUGUUUCGACACACUAUCAUUAACUGAAUCCAUAGGUUAAUGAGGCGAACCGGGGGAACUGAAACAUCUAAGUACCCCGAGGAAAAGAAAUCAACCGAGAUUCCCCCAGUAGCGGCGAGCGAACGGGGAGCAGCCCAGAGCCUAAAUCAGUGUGUGUGUUAGUGGAAGCGUCUGGAAAGGCGCGCGAUACAGGGUGACAGCCCCGUACACAAAAAUGCACAUACUGUGAGCUCGAUGAGUAGGGCGGGACACGUGGUAUCCUGUCUGAAUAUGGGGGGACCAUCCUCCAAGGCUAAAUACUCCUGACUGACCGAUAGUGAACCAGUACCGUGAGGGAAAGGCGAAAAGAA
This 483-nucleotide ribosomal RNA is filed under the name Escherichia coli. RNAcentral describes it as "partial 23S ribosomal RNA". It matches the Rfam family "Bacterial large subunit ribosomal RNA", at positions 1 to 523 of the family's 2925-position model. Lineage: Bacteria; Pseudomonadati; Pseudomonadota; Gammaproteobacteria; Enterobacterales; Enterobacteriaceae. The record is from RNAcentral.